Molecule: long non-coding RNA, 329 nt
Filed under: Sorghum bicolor (sorghum)
Lineage: Eukaryota; Viridiplantae; Streptophyta; Magnoliopsida; Poales; Poaceae
Description: long non-coding RNA (SBIC_LNC011376)
Source: RNAcentral
CCUGUUGAUGAGGACAAAUCGAAGCGGGUGGCGGACCGGCCGAUUCAGUUCUACACAGUGCUCCCUCCGUUCUACUGUUCGCGGGUUCGCCAAUACAGCUGUUUCGACGUCUGAAAGACAGUAGUGUCUCAAACUGGCGUCCCUUUAUUUUGAAACGGGAAGUUUGAAAAAAGGGAAAUUUUAUACAGUAUAAAAUACUGUAGACUACACGUACCAGCAGUUCAAUUCCGAAGGUCUGAAUCUGAACCAGCUUUUUAGCCCAGCCCACCUGCAUCGUCGUCGCUUUAUAUUAACCAGCUCACGAGGACUACGAGACAAACCACCCAGCA